CGUAAACAAAGGGAGGCGAACAUGUGAGUGGAAGCGAAUCCCAAAAAUAACGUCUCAGUUCGGAUUGUAGUCUGCAACUCGACUACAUGAAGCUGGAAUCGCUAGUAAUCGCGAAUCAGAAUGUCGCGGUGAAUACGUUCCCGGGUCUUGUACACACCGCCCGUCACACCAUGGGAGUUGGGAAUGCCCGAAGCCGGUGACCUAACCGAAAGGGAGGAGCCGUCGAAGGCAGGCUUGAUAACUGGGGUGAAGUCGUAACAAGGUAAC
Molecule: ribosomal RNA, 267 nt
Filed under: uncultured bacterium
Lineage: Bacteria
Description: partial 16S ribosomal RNA
Rfam family: Bacterial small subunit ribosomal RNA
Source: RNAcentral